Molecule: ribosomal RNA, 688 nt
Filed under: uncultured bacterium
Lineage: Bacteria
Description: bacterial SSU rRNA
Rfam family: Bacterial small subunit ribosomal RNA
Source: RNAcentral
UCGACGGACUCAUAUUGAAACCUAGUGAUUUAUGAGUUAGUGGCGGACGGGUGAGUAACGCGUGGAAAACCUGCCGUAUACCGGGGGAUAACACUUAGAAAUAGGUGCUAAUACCGCAUAAGCGCACAGCUUCGCAUGAAGCAGUGUGAAAAACUCCGGUGGUAUACGAUGGUUCCGCGUCUGAUUAGCUAGUUGGCGGGGUAACGGCCCACCAAGGCAGCGAUCAGUAGCCGGCCUGAGAGGGUGAACGGCCACAUUGGGACUGAGACACGGCCCAAACUCCUACGGGAGGCAGCAGUGGGGAAUAUUGCACAAUGGGGGAAACCCUGAUGCAGCGACGCCGCGUGAGUGAAGAAGUAUUUCGGCACGUAAAGCUCUAUCAGCAGGGAAGAAAAUGACGGUACCUGACUAAGAAGCCCCGGCUAACUACGUGCCAGCAGCCGCGGUAAUACGUAGGGGGCAAGCGUUAUCCGGAUUUACUGGGUGUAAAGGGAGCGUAGACGGCAGCGCAAGUCUGGAGUGAAAUGCCGGGGCCCAACCCCGGAACUGCUUUGGAAACUGUGCAGCUUGAGUGCGGGAGAGGUAAGUGGAAUUCCUAGUGUAGCGGUGAAAUGCGUAGAUAUUAGGAGGAACACCAGUGGCGAAGGCGGCUUACUGGACCGUAACUGACGUUGAGGCUCGAAAGCGU